RNAcentral lists this ribosomal RNA (1353 nucleotides) under uncultured Sphingobacteriia bacterium. RNAcentral's name for it is "bacterial SSU rRNA". It matches the Rfam family "Bacterial small subunit ribosomal RNA", at positions 28 to 1382 of the family's 1533-position model. Lineage: Bacteria; Pseudomonadati; Bacteroidota; Sphingobacteriia. The record is from RNAcentral.
GAUGAACGCUAGCGGCAGGCCUAAUACAUGCAAGUCGAGGGGCAUAUUGGUUUUCGGACCGGUAGAGACCGGCGCACGGGUGCGUAACACGUAUGCAACUUACCUAUAUCUGGGGCAUAGCCCGAAGAAAUUCGGAUUAAUUCCCCAUAAUGUAUGACAAUCGCAUGAUUGAUAUACUAAAGCUCCGGCGGAUAUAGAUGGGCAUACGGCCCAUUAGCUAGUUGGUGAGGUAAUGGCUCACCAAGGCCACGAUGGGUAGGGGUUCUGAGAGGAUGAUCCCCCACACUGGUACUGAGACACGGACCAGACUCCUACGGGAGGCAGCAGUAGGGAAUAUUGGUCAAUGGACGCAAGUCUGAACCAGCCAUGCCGCGUGCAGGAAGAAUGCCCUAUGGGUUGUAAACUGCUUUUGUACGGGAAGAAACAUUCGUUCGUGAGCGAACUUGACAGUACCGUAAGAAUAAGGACCGGCUAACUCCGUGCCAGCAGCCGCGGUAAUACGGAGGGUCCAAGCGUUGUCCGGAUUUAUUGGGUUUAAAGGGUACGUAGGCGGGAUAUUAAGUCAGUGGUGAAAGCCUCCAGCUCAACUGGAGAACUGCCAUUGAAACUGAUAUUCUUGAGUGUGGAUGAGGUGGUUGGAAUAUAACAUGUAGCGGUGAAAUGCUUAGAUAUGUUAUGGAACACCAAUUGCGAAGGCAGAUCACCAAACCACUACUGACGCUGAGGUACGAAAGCGUGGGGAGCGAACAGGAUUAGAUACCCUGGUAGUCCACGCCGUAAACGAUGUUCACUCGCUGUUGGCGAUACACAGUCAGCGGCCAAGCGAAAGCAUUAAGUGAACCACCUGGGGAGUACGAUCGCAAGGUUGAAACUCAAAGGAAUUGACGGGGGCCCGCACAAGCGGUGGAGCAUGUGGAUUAAUUCGAUGAUACGCGAGGAACCUUACCUGGGCUUAAAUGGUAAUUGACCGUCGCCGAAAGGUGUCUUUCUUUUAGACAAUUAUCAAGGUGCUGCAUGGCUGUCGUCAGCUCGUGCCGUGAGGUGUUGGGUUAAGUCCCGCAACGAGCGCAACCCCUUUCUCUAGUUGCCAGCACAUAAUGGUGGGGACUUUAGAGAUACUGCCUACGUAAGUAGUGAGGAAGGUAGGGACGACGUCAAGUCAUCAUGGCCCUUACGUCCAGGGCUUCACACGUGCUACAAUGGAUGGUACAAAGAGCAGCCACUUGGUAACAAGGAGCAAAUCUCAAAAAGCCAUUCUCAGUUCGGAUUGAGGUCUGCAACUCGACCUCAUGAAGCUGGAAUCGCUAGUAAUCGCAAAUCAGCAAUGUUGCGGUGAAUACGUUCCCGGGCCUU